Molecule: unclassified non-coding RNA, 207 nt
Filed under: Hevea brasiliensis (rubber tree)
Lineage: Eukaryota; Viridiplantae; Streptophyta; Magnoliopsida; Malpighiales; Euphorbiaceae
Source: RNAcentral
GUUGUGUCCUCUCUGCUUUGCUGGCCUUAACCUUUGUUUUGUGUAGUUUUGGAAGGGGAACUUCAAACAUUAUUGGUAUAUCAAUGGUUAAAACAUCUCCUUUCUCUUGUGAUCUAAUUUUCCCAUUUUCUUUUUUCUUUCUCCAUUUUAUAGUUCUCUCUUAUAAUUAACUUCAAUCUUAUGCCCUUUAUUAUUAUUAUUAUUAUU